UACAGAGGUCCCAAGCGUUGUUCGGAUUCACUGGGCGUAAAGGGUGCGUAGGUGGUGAGGUAAGUCGGAUGUGAAAGCUCGGAGCUCAACUCCGAAAUGGCAUUGGAAACUACCUUGCUCGAGGGUUGGAGGGGGGACUGGAAUGCUUGGUGUAGCAGUGAAAUGCGUAGAUAUCAAGCGGAACACCAGUGGCGAAGGCGAGUCCCCGGACAACUCCUGACACUGAGGCACGAAAGCUAGGGGAGCAAACAGG
RNAcentral lists this ribosomal RNA (253 nucleotides) under uncultured bacterium. RNAcentral describes it as "partial 16S ribosomal RNA". It matches the Rfam family "Bacterial small subunit ribosomal RNA", at positions 524 to 776 of the family's 1533-position model. The record is from RNAcentral.